Molecule: long non-coding RNA, 548 nt
Filed under: Homo sapiens (human)
Lineage: Eukaryota; Metazoa; Chordata; Mammalia; Primates; Hominidae
Description: non-protein coding CASC15:15
Source: RNAcentral
GAUGUCCUCUGCAGAUUUAAAAUGUGUGCCUUCUUUUCCGUCACCAAGUCAUCCCUGGGUUACUACUGAACAUCCUUCUCAAUUCCCCCCGACCCAUGGAUGGCUGUUCUCCAUUGUCUGUUUCACCAGAUGUCCUCAAAACAAACAGACAGAAGAAGGAAGUGGCUAAUGGAGCUGUGGAGUCCAAGUGUGACUGCCAAGAGGAAUCCAGCAAAGCCAAAAAGCCCAAGCAUGUAGCCCUGCCCGAAGCACGCCACACGCAUGGAAAACCCAGAGGAAAUGAGUGAGGAUCAAUGGGAAGAAGAGAGCCAGCCAGGUUCGAUGCCUUCUCCAUCCGUCAGUGAGGGUGUGGAGAGCCUGCAGGCGUGUGCCUCCCUCUGUAACUUGCUAUUCCUUGUGUAAUGUCAAGUGGAAGUGUGAAGCACCACAAACUGCUCUGAGCAGAGCCCACUUCCCUUCACCCACGGAGAGCGUGAAGCAGUUACACCAACAUCAAUCAAGGAAAACCCACAGGCUGAGCUCACACGGUUGAAGCAGGUGCGUGAGCG